Molecule: non-coding RNA, 107 nt
Organism: Gossypium hirsutum (cotton)
Lineage: Eukaryota; Viridiplantae; Streptophyta; Magnoliopsida; Malvales; Malvaceae
Source: Rfam
AUCCCAUGAUGAGGACACUUACAAAAUAAUUCAUUGAAUCUUUCCCACACCUCGUAUAAGGACUCGUCAUCCAAUUAUUGAAAAGUAGUAAUCUCAUUUCGCAACUU